UGGGGAAUUUUGGACAAUGGAGGAAACUCUGAUCCAGCAAUUCUGUGUGUGUGAAGAAGGUUUUAGGACUGUAAAACACUUUUAGUAGGGAAGAAAAAAAUGACGGUACCUACAGAAGAAGCAACGGCUAAAUACGUGCCAGCAGCCGCGGUAAUACGUAUGUUGCGAGCGUUAUCCGGAAUUAUUGGGCUUAAAGGGCAUCUAGGCGGUAAGACAAGUUGAAGGUGAAAACCUGUGGCUCAACCAUAGGCUUGCCUACAAAACUGUUGAACUAGAGUACUGGAAAGGUGGGUGGAAAUACACGAGUAGAGGUGAAAUUCGUAGAUAUGUGUAGGAAUGCCGAUGAUGAAGAUAACUCACUGGACAGAAACUGACGCUGAAGUGCGAAAGCUAGGGGAGCAAACAGG
This 407-nucleotide ribosomal RNA is filed under the name Verrucomicrobiota bacterium. Its description in RNAcentral is "Verrucomicrobia bacterium partial 16S ribosomal RNA". It matches the Rfam family "Bacterial small subunit ribosomal RNA", at positions 355 to 776 of the family's 1533-position model. Lineage: Bacteria; Pseudomonadati; Verrucomicrobiota. The record is from RNAcentral.